AACGAACGCUGGCGGCGUGGAUAAGACAUGCAAGUCGAGCGCUGAUUACGGGGUAGCAAUAUUCCGUGGUCGGAGCGGCGCAAGGGUGCGUAACACGUGGGUAAUCUGCCAUGAAGUUUGGAAUAACUCGCUGAAAGGCGAGCUAAUGCCGGAUGUGAAAGCUGGGAGGCAUCUCUCGGUUUUCAAAGCUGGGGACCGUAAGGCCUGGCGCUUCAUGAUGAGCCCGCGGCCUAUCAGCUAGUUGGUAAGGUAACGGCUUACCAAGGCUAAGACGGGUAGCUGGUCUGAGAGGAUGAUCAGCCACACUGGAACUGACACACGGUCCAGACUCCUACGGGUGCAG
Molecule: ribosomal RNA, 343 nt
Filed under: uncultured Verrucomicrobiota bacterium
Lineage: Bacteria; Pseudomonadati; Verrucomicrobiota
Description: bacterial SSU rRNA
Rfam family: Bacterial small subunit ribosomal RNA
Source: RNAcentral